GAUGAACGCUAGCUACAGGCUUAACACAUGCAAGUCGAGGGGAAACGACAUCGAAAGCUUGCUUUUGAUGGGCGUCGACCGGCGCACGGGUGAGUAACGCGUAUCCAACCUGCCCACCACUUGGGGAUAACCUUGCGAAAGUAAGACUAAUACCCAAUGACGUCUCUAGAAGACAUAUGAAAGAGAUUAAAGAUUUAUCGGUGAUGGAUGGGGAUGCGUCUGAUUAGCUUGUUGGCGGGGUAACGGCCCACCAAGGCGACGAUCAGUAGGGGGUCUGAGAGGAAGGUCCCCCACAUUGGAACUGAGACACGGUCCAAACUCCUACGGGAGGCAGCAGUGAGGAAUAUUGGUCAAUGGGCGAGAGCCUGAACCAGCCAAGUAGCGUGCAGGAUGACGGCCCUAUGGGUUGUAAACUGCUUUUAUAAGGGAAUAAAGUGAGUCUCGAGAGACUUUUUGCAUGUACCUUAUGAAUAAGGACCGGCUAAUUCCGUGCCAGCCGCCGCCGUAA
This 508-nucleotide ribosomal RNA is filed under the name uncultured bacterium. Its description in RNAcentral is "partial 16S ribosomal RNA". It matches the Rfam family "Bacterial small subunit ribosomal RNA", at positions 28 to 523 of the family's 1533-position model. The record is from RNAcentral.